UAGGGAAUCUUCCACAAUGGGCGCAAGCCUGAUGGAGCAACACCGCGUGAGUGAAGAAGGGUUUCGGCUCGUAAAGCUCUGUUGUUAGAGAAGAACACGAGUGAGAGUAACUGUUCAUUCGAUGACGGUAUCUAACCAGCAAGUCACGGCUAACUACGUGUCAG
Molecule: ribosomal RNA, 164 nt
Filed under: uncultured bacterium
Lineage: Bacteria
Description: partial 16S rRNA
Rfam family: Bacterial small subunit ribosomal RNA
Source: RNAcentral